UUUAAUUCUAGAUCCAACUUACUGGAGUGGAGAUUGAUUGUUGUUAAUGUUGAGUUUCCGACAGAGAUGGCUGGCCGGUGGGAGGCGCUGGUUGCUGCUGCUUCGCGGGCUGCUGCCUGUUGGUCAUUGCCGGAGAAUGACGGGUUGCUUGUUCAUGCUGGCCGGAGCAGUUGCUCGUCGUGGAUGCUGGUGUUGCUAUUGCAUCCCUUCAUAAAAAAAAUAAAA
Molecule: unclassified non-coding RNA, 225 nt
Filed under: Hevea brasiliensis (rubber tree)
Lineage: Eukaryota; Viridiplantae; Streptophyta; Magnoliopsida; Malpighiales; Euphorbiaceae
Source: RNAcentral